RNAcentral lists this non-coding RNA (31 nucleotides) under Rattus norvegicus (Norway rat). The record is from RNAcentral. Lineage: Eukaryota; Metazoa; Chordata; Mammalia; Rodentia; Muridae.
UGAGUUUAGACAUAGCUCAGUGCUCGAGGAU